Paramacrobiotus metropolitanus is the source of this 568-nucleotide long non-coding RNA. RefSeq lists it as uncharacterized. The transcript is spliced from 3 exons. The record is from RefSeq and is a predicted model, not a curated record. Lineage: Eukaryota; Metazoa; Tardigrada; Eutardigrada; Parachela; Macrobiotidae.
UGUUACGCAAACGACACGAUGACACUUCAAUUGCAAACAAACUACGAACAAUUUUAUUAGUUGUACGUUCCGAAACAUUACUGACUGUUUUUGCGUUAAUCUGUCGAAAAAGAGUAACGCUUGAAGAUGUACCGAUACUGGACAUUUUGGACGACCACUGGACUCCCAAUUCCCAUUAGCGGGCUUGAUAGAUACAUGUAGUUGCUGCAACGACGUCGCGAAGUGCUGAACAGGUUACAAUCACCACUAGAGAAAGAGUGACAGCGGUGCAGUGUGUGUACGAAGGGAGAGCUCGUGCCAUCAGCGUUCCACCUCACGGAAAUCGUCGACAUGGAGAUCAGCCGUUCUCGGACAUCAUUAGUUUGCCGGUCAUUAGAGAUCGACUUGAACAAGCGCAUUAUCAGCACAUGAGAAAUUUCUUGAAAAUUCAGUUUUAGUAAUACUUCUAUUACGUAUUCGCCGGGACUAAUAACCGUACGAUGUAUGGUACAAGACCAUUUUUAUAUUUAGCUCUGAAAGUUUCAAUUUAAUCGCUAUGUUUUUAUUUUAGCAGUUUAUCAGUGAGUUC